GAUGAACGCUGGCGGCGUGCCUAAUACAUGCAAGUCGAGCGAACGGACGAGAAGCUUGCUUCUCUGAUGUUAGCGGCGGACGGGUGAGUAACACGUGGAUAACCUACCUAUAAGACUGGGCUAACUUCGGGAAACCGUAGCUAAUACCGGAUAACAUUUUGAACCGCAUGGUUCAAAAGUGAAAGACGGUCUUGCUGUCACUUAUAGAUAGAUCCUCGCUGCAUUAGCUAGUUGGUAAGGUAACGGCUUACCAAGGCAACGAUGCAUAGCCGACCUGAGAGGGUGAUCGGCCACACUUGAACUGAGACACUGUCCAGACUCCUACGGGAGGCAGCAGUAGGGAAUCUUCCGCAAUGGGCGAAAGCCUGACGGAGCAACGCCGCGUGAGUGAUGAAGGUCUUCGGAUCGUAAAACUCUGUUAUUAGGGAAGAACAUAUGUGUAAGUAACUGUGCACAUCUUGACGGUACCUAAUCAGAAAGCCACGGCUAACUACGUG
Molecule: ribosomal RNA, 497 nt
Filed under: uncultured bacterium
Lineage: Bacteria
Description: partial 16S ribosomal RNA
Rfam family: Bacterial small subunit ribosomal RNA
Source: RNAcentral